This 406-nucleotide ribosomal RNA is filed under the name uncultured bacterium. RNAcentral describes it as "partial 16S ribosomal RNA". It matches the Rfam family "Bacterial small subunit ribosomal RNA", at positions 28 to 526 of the family's 1533-position model. The record is from RNAcentral.
GACGAACGCUGGCGGCGUGCUUAACACAUGCAAGUUGAACGAGUGGCGAACGGGUGAGUAAUACGUGGGUAACCUGCCCUUUACUCGGGUAUAGCCUUUCGAAAGAAAGAUUAAUACCCGAUAUAAAGGAUGGGGAUGCGUUCCAUUAGGUUGUUGGUGUGGUAACGUCUCACCAAGCCUUCGAUGGAUAGGGGUUCUGAGAGGAAGGUCCCUCACAUUGGAACUGAUACACGGUCCAAACUCUGACGGGAGGAAGCAUUGAGGAAUAUUGGUAAAUGGGCGGUAGCCUGAACCAGCCAAGUAGCGUGAAGGAUGAAGGCUUAUGGGUCGUAAACUUCUUUUAUAUAAGAAUAUGUAUUAUAUGAAUAAGGAUCUGCUAACUCCGUGCCAGCAGCCGCGGUAAUUC